CCUAUCUGUGGUACACAGUACGUACGUUCUUAUUUCAAAAAACAAUUAACUCUUUGUCUUGUCUCCUUUUAAACAUAAUUAAAGUUGUGUUAAAAUUAGUUUUUGAAAGUGCUGAAGAUCAAAAGUUUGUUCGUACAUAGGGCGUUGCGCUAAUGUUAUAAUGUUUUAAUGAAUUUCUUGAUUCAGAAAAGUUGUCAUCGAUAGUUUUUGACGUGUGAAUAAGUUGAGUGAUAAGAAACAAAAAUGCAGAAUUCAACAUUAAAAGAAAAGGAAAGAGUGGCAACAGUUACUAUUUCUCCGAAUUUACUGAAAAAUUUCAACGUCUACGACAUUUUGGAACCGGUAAAAAAUGACGUAACUAGUGACGCGGCUAAGGUCGAUAAAUUAAUCGAUGUCGAUGAUUCUUCUCGAGAUUCCGGAUUCCAAGAUGCCGAUAUAAACGCCUCGUUUUUGGACAAUAAAAAGGAAUUCAAUUUAGUCGAUUUAUUCCAAAACAUUUUCGUUACACCACAACAUAUUAAGAAAAAAGAAACGAACGAUGACCUUGGUGCUACGUUUUCGGAGGAAAAAGUCGUUGAUCCAGGUUAUAACAAGUUUUUUGAUAUGUUGGAAUCUGGACAAAAGAUUGACUGGACAAAUAUUUCGACGAAAGAAAAAUCUGUGUUGAAACAUAAUUUUGUUCAAGAAAAACCUAAAGUUUUAGUACCUAAAGUGAAUCUAAGUGAGUCGGAUUCGGACCCAGAGGAAUUGAUACACGAAGUUUUGACCAAUAAGAUUAAGGAAAAGGUACUUCUUGGCAGCGUCAGUGACUCGUACGAUUUGCAAACGAAAAUCGACCGUAAUAUACCAAAAAUUGAUGUCAAAAUGCCAAAAAUCAUUAAAACUCCAGAUUUGAUCCCUGAAUUUUCUCAUCGCUCGGAAAAUUGUUCCAGUAAGGGCGCCAAAUUGGAGAAUGUUAACAAUGAGAAUGUACCGCAAGCUUCAGGGGUUGAUACAAGGAGAAGAUCAGAAAGACUUCUACAGAAAAAUCUUGAAAGACAAAACAAAGUCUACACAACAGAUUUCGUCGUAAAAGCUAUGCAGAAAGAUGAAAAAACGUACAGAAAGAAGCGACUACAAAAACCUGAGCAUUUAAAAGCAAAUUACACUAAAGGACCAGAUUUUUAUGAAAAAACAAUUGUCUUACCUCAAAUAAUGGCCCGAUUGAACGCGAAACUUGCUGAAUUAGAUGAGAAAAGUACUCAAAAACGGAAAUUGAUUUUAGACGUAGGCACUGUUCCAAAUUCUGACUAUAGUCCAAAAAAAGAAGUGAAGGAUAUAAAAACGAAACUAAAUUAUUUGCCUGAAACCGCAAAAUAUCAGCCAGAAGCAGCGAAAAAGACACUAAACUUGGAAAUGAAUAACAAAAAACCUCAAAACCAAGGUUUGCAGUCGAUUAAAACUGUCAAAGUUACUCAAAAAGAAGCUCAAAUGUGCGUUAAUAAAACAAAUAAUAACAUUGCUGUUCAUUCAACAGUCGGACAGUGCUUAAAUUGCAGUAAACCGAAGAAAACCGACAAUUCUAACGACAAAAAAUCUUCUAUUAAUAAUUUUGGUGAAUUAAAUCCUGUGGUUUUAAUGGAAGAUUGUAAAAAAGAAAGGCUCAGAGCUCUAAAACAGAGCAAAAUGUUCAAAGAUUUUAUCGUGAAUGGGAAAUAUGGCGGUUAAACUUGAUAAGGUGAGAAUGAAAGAAAAACUUUACUAAAUAGGGAUGAUGACUUAUAAUGACUUGCCGUCGUACUCAGAGUCAUUUAAUAGUUACUAAACUCAGUCCUUAGCAAUAGGGAUGAUGACGGGGUAUGAAAAUUAAAUCUAUUAAGACCGUCAGUUAGGUAUUAAAAAAAUAUUAGACGUAUUUUUUUAUUUUGUCAUCAUUUCUACGUAUAAAAUGUACAUAGAAGUAACGUCACGUGAUAAUUCAAAACUAUGUCUUGAAAAGUAUUUGAAAUAAAAAAUACAUGUGUAAUAUUUUAAAAUUAUCUACAAGAUACGGAUAUUAAAAUUAAUCAUCUACCUUAUUGUUUUCGGAACAAAAUCGUUUCUAAGGAAUAGUUUAAGUAAUCAUUAAAUGUCUCUGGGUACGGCAGUUAGUUUCCAAACUAUAUUUUUUAUUAUUUUUGCCUGUCAGCACAGGCAAAGAUAGAAGAACUCAGUACGUACGUACUUUAAGCGAUUAUUUUAAAAGUAAAGCAAACUCAUACUAAGGGUACAGGUAAAUCUGGCCUGUAUAUUUUACCGAAAAACAGUAAGUUGCGUUACAAGGGGGAAAGAGGGGUCAAAACACCCCUUAGUAUAGGCAAGAUAUAUGUUUGAUACGAGUAUCUGUUCUCAUCUCUGUUUUAUAGGCAGCUGUGUCAGAAUUAUAGUGUCUAUUUUAACCCUUUAACCGCCAAGUUAAAUAUCAAUUACCAUGCCCCUAGCACGAGACUACAAAAUAAAGAAGAUAUAUAUACACUAAAUAAGGAUGAGCAAUCGUGUGAAUAGAACGUAACAAUCAUGCAUGUUCUCUGUCACAUCAAUACGACAUGAGCGGUAGGACAGGGAAAUUUGUGUCGCAUAUAUCCGACACAGGCGGUUAAAUGGUUCAAAGUCAAAGUCAAAAUUAUUUAUUUCAAUUAGACCAGGAAGGCAGUUUGUAACGUCAA
RNA transcript from Spodoptera frugiperda (fall armyworm), 2684 nucleotides. RefSeq lists it as uncharacterized. The record is from RefSeq and is a predicted model, not a curated record. The transcript is spliced from 3 exons. NCBI's taxonomy places the organism in Eukaryota, Metazoa, Arthropoda, Insecta, Lepidoptera, Noctuidae.